ACCAGAAUUGUCUGGAAGGUGGGCUCCCUUAGGUAUUCUUCUUCUCCUCCCCAUUAGAGAGCCUGGCUCCUCUUCCUUUUUGUUUGCACUUCACCUUCUCUAUGCUCCUUGGAUGGAAAGGGCUCUUGAGAUCCACAUCAUCCCUUCCUGACGUGGGCUGAGGAAAGAUUGCUUUCAUUUGUAACCAGCAUCUUUAGGUCUCUCCAGCAGCACUUUUCCACACUCUGCUGUGCAGUGUGAUCAUGGCUGUGCUGGAGAUCAAACUCAGGGCAUUGAGCAAUCUGAC
This is a long non-coding RNA of Marmota flaviventris (yellow-bellied marmot), 286 nucleotides long. RefSeq lists it as uncharacterized. The record is from RefSeq and is a predicted model, not a curated record. Lineage: Eukaryota; Metazoa; Chordata; Mammalia; Rodentia; Sciuridae.